CCUACGGUGGUCAGCAGUGGGGAAUUUUGCGCAAUGCUCGUAAGAGUGACGCAUCGACGCCGCGUGAAUGACGAAGGCCUUCUGGUCGUAAAGUUCUUUCGACAGGGAAGAAAAUGCCUAUAAGUAACUGUGUAUGUAUUGACGUUACCUGUAUAAGCAGCCCCCGCUAACUCCGUGCCAGCAGCCACGUUAAUACGGAGGGGGCGAGCGUUGUUCGGAGUUACUGGGCGUAAAGCGCACGUAGGCGGUAUUGUAAGUCAUUAGUGAAAGACCAGGGCUCAACUUUCGAAAUGCUAGUGAUACUAGCAAACUGGAGUGUGGGAGAGGAUAGUGGAAUUCCAGGUGUAGGAGUGAAAUCCGUAGAUAUCUGGAGGAACACCAGUGGCGAAGGCGACUAUCUGGCAGAUAACUGACGCUGAGGUGCGAAAGCGUGGGUAGCAAACAGGAUUAGAUACCCUAGUAGUC
This 465-nucleotide ribosomal RNA is filed under the name uncultured bacterium. RNAcentral describes it as "partial 16S ribosomal RNA". It matches the Rfam family "Bacterial small subunit ribosomal RNA", at positions 338 to 795 of the family's 1533-position model. The record is from RNAcentral.